RNAcentral lists this long non-coding RNA (1765 nucleotides) under Calidris pugnax (ruff). RNAcentral's name for it is "lncRNA (ENSCPUG00000013359.1)". Lineage: Eukaryota; Metazoa; Chordata; Aves; Charadriiformes; Scolopacidae. The record is from RNAcentral.
CAGGUCCUGGGGCUUGCCAGUGAGGCUGGCUGGAGGAGAGGAUGUGAGCAGAGCUGGAUUUCCUCUCCACAGCUCCUCAACUGCCACGGAGGCUCACAAUCCUCCCUGGGCAGUGCCAGCUCUCAUGGGGAUGAAGGUGGGCCAAGGCUGCCCCGGCUGCCAACAUGCCAUGGGGCCUCCCCUUGCUCCCAUCCCAAGGCAAUUAACAGGGACACGAGGUGUAGAGAGCACUGCAGAGGAGGAGAAGGUCUGGAUUUCACCAUCCCCAAGCUUUGGGAGGACUUGCAAAAGCCAGCGAGAUCCUGGGCACCCCACAGGGCUCAGCUUUCUCAUAGGGAAGAGGUGAAACUUGGGGGGCUGAGGGUGGAGGGCAGUGGGGUUUGCUCCAGUGAUGGGUCUCCCACCCUCAUCUGCAGCGACAGGUGGAGUUUUGGGGUUAUUUGGGGUAUGAAAGGGGCUUAUCUUCAAUUCAUUAUAUGGCGAGCAGGGUAGUUUGUAAGAGGGGAAAAGCAAGAAAAAUUAACACAUGCUUCCAAACACCUGGAGACGUGACGACUACCAGCCACCCCUGCUUUGGGAGGACUUGCAAAAGCCAGCGAGACCCUGGACACCCCACAGGGAAGAGGUGCAGCUGGGGGGGCUGGGGGUGGAAGGCAGCGGGGUUUGCUCCAGUGAUGGGUCUCCCACCCUCAUCUGCAGCGACAGGUGGAGUUUUGGGGUUAUUUGGGGUAUGAAAGGGGCUUAUCUUCAAUUCAUUAUAUGGCGAGCAGGGUAGUUUGUAAGAGGGGAAAAGCAAGAAAAAUUAACACAUGCUUCCAAACACCUGGAGACGUGACGACUACCAGCCACCCCCGCACACCCACCGAGCUUGGAAACAAUAAUAUGGGGAAUUCACCCCCACCCAGGGAGGAAUUUUAGAGGUUUUUUGUAGCUAAAAACCACCCUGGUGUGGCAGGAACCCAGAGAUGUUGGUUGGGUUAGGGCGCUGGGCCGGUUGCAGGUCAGCAAACGUGGCAGCACCAUCUCGGGCGCUGCACAACGGCCUCGGCAUCCCGGGCACCGCAGCAAAAUGUUUUCCCUAUAAAAUGGCCGAGUUGCCCCCCUUGGCUGCUGGGGGAACAAAAGCAGGGUGGAGGAUGGCCAUCAGGGAUGCAUCCAUCUUGCACUUCACGGUGAUGGUUUCCCCCCCACCACAAAGCACUGGUGGGGAAGGGCAGCGGGAAGGUCCCAGCAGUCCCACGCUUGUCCAAAGCAGGAUGGAGAUGGAAACCCCUCGCCAUUCCCAAGGCCUUUUCCAGGCUUUUCACAGCCGCCGUGGCUGCUCAUGGCUGGGUACGAAGAGGGGGACCAGCCGGCUCCUCCAAACCCAUCCAGACAUGGCGAAACUGGUACCCUCCUUUCGGCAUUUAGCAGCACCCUCAGGCUCAGCAUCCACCUUCUCUUCAGCCCGACGAAGCCUUUCUCCUCCCACCCACCCCGAGAAACACCGAGAGGGAGGGAAAAUAAAUAAAUAAAAAAUUACGCAUGUUAUAUCUUAAGCUCAGCAUCUCCAAAAAAUCACUGGCAGAUAUUCAUAAUGGUCCGGGAGCUAUUAGAGGCGCAAGAAGGAGGGAAGGGAAGGAAAUGAACGCCGGGUGAGAAGAGAAAAUUCAUAGCCCCGCUGAUACGCCAUGAUAAAUAAUUAUGAGUUAUUAAUUUUAAAUUACAUCUUUAAUGCAUUGCAUGAUUUUAAUUCCCACCACAGUAUUAAUAUAGGGACUCUGGG